RNAcentral lists this ribosomal RNA (492 nucleotides) under uncultured bacterium. Its description in RNAcentral is "partial 16S ribosomal RNA". It matches the Rfam family "Bacterial small subunit ribosomal RNA", at positions 29 to 507 of the family's 1533-position model. The record is from RNAcentral.
AGUGAACGCUGGCGGUAGGCCUAACACAUGCAAGUCGAACGGCAGCACAGUAAGAGCUUGCUCUUACGGGUGGCGAGUGGCGGACGGGUGAGGAAUACAUCGGAAUCUACUUUUUCGUGGGGGAUAACGUAGGGAAACUUACGCUAAUACCGCAUACGACCUACGGGUGAAAGCAGGGGAUCUUCGGACCUUGCGCGAUUGAAUGAGCCGAUGUCGGAUUAGCUAGUUGGUGGGGUAAAGGCCCACCAAGGCGACGAUCCGUAGCUGGUCUGAGAGGAUGAUCAGCCACACUGGAACUGAGACACGGUCCAGACUCCUACGGGAGGCAGCAGUGGGGAAUAUUGGACAAUGGGCGCAAGCCUGAUCCAGCCAUACCGCGUGAGUGAAGAAGGCCUUCGGGUUGUAAAGCCCUUUUGUUGGGAAAGAAAAGCAGCAGGUUAAUACCCCGCUGUUCUGACGGUACCCAAAGAAUAAGCACCGGCUAACUUCGUG